Canis lupus familiaris (dog) is the source of this 388-nucleotide long non-coding RNA. RefSeq lists it as uncharacterized. Lineage: Eukaryota; Metazoa; Chordata; Mammalia; Carnivora; Canidae. The record is from RefSeq and is a predicted model, not a curated record. The transcript is spliced from 2 exons.
AACCCGGCCACCUUCCCUUCUGCCUUCCUGGAGCUUUUCCAACAUUUCCUUCCAUGCCAGUGGUUUUUGCCCUUUCCAGUGUUAAAGUCUCCCUGCUUGCCUCCUGCUCCUUCUAAUUGUGGCUGCAAGCUUCCAGAGAUGGCAGAAAAGCGACGACUGUGCACACGGUCACAGAAAGAAAGAAAGAAAAGAAAAGAAAAGAAAAGAAAAGAAGAAAGAAGGGAAAGGGAAAGGAAAAGGAAGACUGGAUUUGAUGCCCAGCUCUCUCCCUUUCCAGCUGUGUAGCCUUGGACAAGUUUCUUGAGCUCCAUGCUUCACUUUCUUCAGCGGUCAGUUGGCUAUUUACACCUCAUGGACCCUGGUGAGGAAUAAAUGAGUUCCUAGCCGA